GAUGAACGCUGGCGGCGUGCCUAAUACACGCAAGUCGUACGGAAAGGCCCUUCGGGGUACUCGAGUGGCGGACGGCUGAGUAACGCGUGGGAACGUGCCCCAAAGUGAGGGAUAACGCACCGAAAGGUGUGCUAAUACCGCAUAUGGUCUUCGGAUUAAAGCUUCGGCGCUUUGGGAGCGGCCCGCGUACGAUUAGAUAGUUGGUGAGGUAAUGGCUCACCAAGUCGACGAUCGUUAGCUGGUCUGAGAGGAUGAUCAGCCAGACUGGGACUGAGACACGGCCCAGACUCCUACGGGUGGCAGCAGUAAGGAAUCUUCCACAAUGGGGGCAACCCUGAUGGAGCAACGCCGCGUGCAGGAUGAAGGUUUUCGAAUCGUAAACUGCUUUUAUAAGUGAAGAAUAUGACGGUAACUUAUGAAUAAGGAUCGGCUAACUACGUGCCAGCAGCCGCCGUAA
RNAcentral lists this ribosomal RNA (457 nucleotides) under uncultured bacterium. RNAcentral's name for it is "partial 16S ribosomal RNA". It matches the Rfam family "Bacterial small subunit ribosomal RNA", at positions 28 to 523 of the family's 1533-position model. The record is from RNAcentral.